This is a long non-coding RNA of Molossus molossus (Pallas's mastiff bat), 899 nucleotides long. RefSeq lists it as uncharacterized. The record is from RefSeq and is a predicted model, not a curated record. The transcript has 7 exons. NCBI's taxonomy places the organism in Eukaryota, Metazoa, Chordata, Mammalia, Chiroptera, Molossidae.
CCUCACACAGUUCCUAUCCAGUCUACCCUCCCUCUGCAGGAGCCCAAGGCUCCAUCCCUGCAGUUCCAGUUUCUCCACUAGGUGGCAGAAUAUCAACAGUCAUCAUCCAUGCCUCUUAGAAAGACUUAACACAGAUAAAAAGGGUGACUUUGGAAGCUGUAUGCUGAAUAUAGCAGAGCCUCAAGAUGGAAGAAGCAUGGGUCACUAAUGCUUGGAGGAGAGCCACCUGUCAAUCAGGACUUUAUCUGAAUGCAAAGGACUCCAAGGCUCAAAAGUUCCAGCAGCUCUGGGACCAGAUGGUGUAUGUCCACAAACAGAGCUGCUGCUGCUGCUGCUGCUGCUACUGCUGCUGCUGCUGCUGCUGCUGCUGCUACAAGUAUGGAUUGUCAAAUGUUCAGAAAAGCCCCAAGUGGGAAUCAACAGACUUUGCAUCUCUGCUCUCCAAGGGUCUGCUCUGUCAGCAAGUGGUCUGAAAACCUGGAAAUUAUGUUAUCAGCGGCAUGAAUCAUUUUGUUACUCAAAUAAAAGAGACAAUUAUAGGGAAAAAUAUUUAAAAAAUAUUGAUGAGCCCCCCCCCCCCAAAAAAAAGACGACCACCCAUAAUCCCACCAACCAUAGCUAACCACUGUUACAUUGUGGUAUGUGUCUUUCUUAUCUUUUUGCCUACAUGGAAAAGGAAGUUUUUACUGAGUACCUACUACAUACCAGGCAGUAUACUUAGGACUGUGAAAGCUUGGUCUUGAUCUUAAGGAUAGAGGGCAAUGACCCAAAUCAUUACAAUUUGGGGUGAGAACUGCAAUAAUAGCUGCCUGAAGAGAUACAAGAAAAGCAGGGAAAAAGAAGUGAGCACCUCUUCCUGACCUGUUAUAUUCAAGAUUCCACAUAUAAGUGAAAACAUA